GGGGAAUCUUCCGCAAUGGGCGAAAGCCUGACGGAGCAAUACCGCGUGAGGGAGGAAGGCUCUUGGGUUGUAAACCUCUUUUCUCAAGGAAGAAUAUUGACGGUACUUGAGGAAUCAGCAUCGGCUAACUCCGUGCCAGCAGCCGCGGUAAUACGGAGGAUGCAAGCGUUAUCCGGAAUGAUUGGGCGUAAAGCGUCCGUAGGUGGCUGUGUGUGUCUAUUGUUAAAGAGUUUGGCUCAACCAAAUAAGGGCGGUAGAAACUACACAGCUAGAGUGCGUUCGGGGCAGAGGGAAUUCCUGGUGUAGCGGUGAAAUGCGUAGAGAUCAGGAAGAACACCGGUGGCGAAAGCGCUCUGCUAGGCCGCAACUGACACUGAGGGACGAAAGCUAGG
Molecule: ribosomal RNA, 392 nt
Filed under: Hapalosiphon welwitschii HM11
Lineage: Bacteria; Bacillati; Cyanobacteriota; Cyanophyceae; Nostocales; Hapalosiphonaceae
Description: bacterial SSU rRNA
Rfam family: Bacterial small subunit ribosomal RNA
Source: RNAcentral